AACCUACCUUCUACAGGGGGAUAGCCCAGAGAAAUUUGGAAUAAUACCCCAUACGGUCAUUUAAUGGCAUCAUUAAAUGAAGAAAACUCCGGUGGUAGAAGAUGGGCAUGCGUCCUAUUAGUUAGUUGGUAAGGUAAUGGCUUACCAAGACACCGAUAGGUAGGGGUCCUGAGAGGGAGAUCCCCCACACUGGUACUGAGACACGGACCAGACUCCUACGGGAGGCAGCAGUGAGGAAUAUUGGACAAUGGAGGCAACUCUGAUCCAGCCAUGCCGCGUGCAGGAAGACGGCCCUACGGGUUGUAAACUGCUUUUAUACAGGAAGAAUUAUACCUACGUGUAGGUAUUUGACGGUACUGUAAGAAUAAGGAUCGGCUAACUCCGUGCCAGCAGCCGCGGUAAUACGGAGGAUCCAAGCGU
RNAcentral lists this ribosomal RNA (420 nucleotides) under uncultured bacterium. Its description in RNAcentral is "bacterial SSU rRNA". It matches the Rfam family "Bacterial small subunit ribosomal RNA", at positions 123 to 541 of the family's 1533-position model. The record is from RNAcentral.